RNAcentral lists this transfer RNA (73 nucleotides) under Gemmataceae bacterium. RNAcentral describes it as "tRNA-Glu". It matches the Rfam family "tRNA". Rfam says of the family: Transfer RNA (tRNA) molecules are approximately 80 nucleotides in length. Their secondary structure includes four short double-helical elements and three loops (D, anti-codon, and T loops). Lineage: Bacteria; Pseudomonadati; Planctomycetota; Planctomycetia; Gemmatales; Gemmataceae. The record is from RNAcentral.
GCCCCCAUCGUCUAGCGGCCUAGGACGUAGCCCUCUCACGGCUAAAACAGGGGUUCGAGUCCCCUUGGGGGUA